This 264-nucleotide ribosomal RNA is filed under the name uncultured archaeon. RNAcentral describes it as "partial 16S ribosomal RNA". It matches the Rfam family "Archaeal small subunit ribosomal RNA", at positions 717 to 982 of the family's 1478-position model. The record is from RNAcentral.
ACACGACUACAUUAGAUACCCCUGUAGUCCUAGCCGUAAACGAUACUCGCUAGGUGUCGGCCACGGUGCGACCGUUGUCGGUGCCGUAGGGAAGUCGUGAAGCGAGCCACCUGGGAAGUACGGCCGCAAGGCUGAAACUUAAAGGAAUUGGCGGGGAGCACAACAACGGGUGGAGCUUGCGGUUUAAUUGGAUUCAACGCCGGAAAUCUUACCGGGACCGACAGCAACAUGAAGGCCAAGCUGAAGACUUUGCCGGAUUAGCUG